This is a non-coding RNA of Brassica napus (rape), 107 nucleotides long. Lineage: Eukaryota; Viridiplantae; Streptophyta; Magnoliopsida; Brassicales; Brassicaceae. The record is from Rfam.
AAGCCAUGGUGAAGACACUGUGAUACAUAUGCAUUGAAUCAGUCCCAAGCUUCUCCAAACCCUUCAAGAUUCUUCUGCUGGAAACCGGAUAUCUCAUUCCUAAGCUU